GGAGGAAGGUGGGGACGACGUCAAGUCAUCAUGGCCCUUACGUGUAGGGCUACACACGUGCUACAAUGGCGCAUACAGAGUGCUGCGAACUUGCGAGAGUAAGCGAAUCACUUAAAGUGCGUCGUAGUCCGGAUUGGAGUCUGCAACUCGACUCCAUGAAGUCGGAAUCGCUAGUAAUCGCGAAUCAGAAUGUCGCGGUGAAUACGUUCCCGGGCCUUGUACACACCGCCCGU
Molecule: ribosomal RNA, 233 nt
Filed under: Pseudoalteromonas sp.
Lineage: Bacteria; Pseudomonadati; Pseudomonadota; Gammaproteobacteria; Alteromonadales; Pseudoalteromonadaceae
Description: partial 16S ribosomal RNA
Rfam family: Bacterial small subunit ribosomal RNA
Source: RNAcentral